Ipomoea triloba (trilobed morning glory) is the source of this 2425-nucleotide RNA transcript. It is a transcript of the gene named dirigent protein 10, with no coding region annotated. The transcript is spliced from 3 exons. Lineage: Eukaryota; Viridiplantae; Streptophyta; Magnoliopsida; Solanales; Convolvulaceae. The record is from RefSeq and is a predicted model, not a curated record.
UGCUGUGCGACUGCACGCUCAGGCCCGCUUGACAGUAGCAUAAAUUUUUAUUACGGAGUAUUAUUUUAUUUUCAAUUUUGUUUUGUUUUUUUAUUCAUCCCUCCUUAUUUUUUCUUUUCUAAUCACACUUACAAUAACUCCUCAAUAAAAUAUUUCCCCUCUCAUAAGUUUCCUUAAUUCACUCCAAUACUGCUACUGCGACUCUUCUCCAACUAUACUAUCAGCAGGUGGCGCGAAUGUUUCUACUGGAUUCCAUGAUCAAACUACGAUCAAAACUACUCAAAUGUAGAUUUGCGAUCAUCAAUUCUUGCAAUUCUACACCCUCAACAUCCAAAUCAUACCACACUCGCCGGUGUCCUCCUAGGCCACCUGCCUCAGAGCCGCCGCGAAGGCCGAGCAGGCUCUCUCAGCGCAAGCCAAUACCAUUCAUUGAUGAUCUAAAACAAAUCCAUGCCCCAGAAGAUCUCCUCUCCCUCUUCCAUGAUUACCGGAAAAUGGGCUUCAAGCAUUACUACCCUUCCUACUCUUCCCUCAUCUACAAGCUCGCCAAGUCUCGGAACUUCGAAGCCGUCGAUACCCUUCUUGGUUGCCUUAAAACCUACAAUGUCCACUGCAGAGAGGCCCUUUUCAUUGGGUUGAUUGAGCACUACGGAAAAUGUGGGUUGGUGGAGAAGGCGAUUCAUCUUUUUCGCGAGAUGAAGGAGUAUUUCAACUGUGUCCGCUCAAUACAGUCCUUCAAUAUGCUUCUCAAUGUGUUGGUGGAGAAUGGCAGGCAUUGCGAAGCUUAUGACAUGUUCAAGGGUUCUUCGAAGCUGGGGUUUCGUCCCAACUCGGUUUCUUUUAAUAUCAUGAUUAAAAUGUAUCUGGAGAAGGGCGAACUUGAAAGGGCUCGCGAAGUGUUUGAUGAAAUGCUCGAGAGAGAGGUUGAGCCCACUGCCGUGACGUACAAUUCUCAGAUCGGGUUUUUGUGCAAAAGGGGUGAGUUUGAAAAGGGAAAGAGUUUGUUUGAGGAUAUGGUUAGGAAAGGGACUAAGCCGAAUGAGGUCACCUAUGCUUUGCUGAUGGAAGGUUUGUGUUUUUUGGGGAGGUACAAGGAUGCCAAGAAGUUAAUGUUUGAUAUGGAAUACCAGGGGUGUAAACCCAAGGUUGUUAACUAUGGUGUUUUGGUGAGUGAUCUUGGGAAGAGAGGCAAAAUCGAAGAGGCGAAAAGUUUGCUCGUUGAGAUGAAGAAAAGGCAUAUCAAGCCUGAUGCUGUAAUCUAUAAUAUGCUGAUUAGUUAUUUUUGCAGAGAAGAUAGAGCUGCUGAGGCUUACAGAGUUUUGGUUGAAAUGCAAAUUGCAGGUUGCAAACCAAAUGCCACUACAUACAGGAUGGUGGUUGAUGGGUUCUGUAAAGCAGGAGAAUUUGAAGAAGGUUUGAAGGUUUUCAAUGCAAUGUUGAUGAGUGGCCAUUUCCCACGCACUGAAACACUUCGUUCUCUAGUAAUGGGCUUAUUUGACUGUGGGAAGGUUGAUGAUGCAUACUUUAUUUUAGAGGAAAUGGCAAAGAGGAAGAAGAUGUUCGAUUUUGAGUCAUGGGAAGCCAUAGUCAAGGAUUCCUGCCCUUUGGAUAAAGCAUUAGCAUUCAAUAAUCAUAUAACUGAAAUUGUGUCUUCUAACUAAUGGAAUUGUAGAAUAACAUAACUUUAUCAGGCUCACCACAAGUGAGCCGAUUUACUGGUUGGUUGGCCAAGGUUGUGACUCUUGGCGUUUGGAGCUGAAUGAUUGCUUGAGCAUCUUACCAGCCCACAUUUUCAAAGUUUGAGGUCUUAGAUUUUGUUCUUGCUGAUGGUGACCAAAACACCUAAUUUGGUUUCUGUUCAUUUGUUGUCAUGGUGAUGCACAACAUUGCCUGGAUGGUGUUAAUGCCAGGCAUCCAUGAUGAGUAUGGAACAACAAUGGAAUUCAUUAGGUAGCAGCUGGAAAGAGUUUUAAAAGCCUUCAAAUAUGGCGUUGAUAAGUGAAGAAGGCAAAUUGUGAUGCUUCAUUUUGGAUAUGUUUUUUGGGAUAUGCCUUACUGGGGAUUUUUAUUGACAAGAGGACAACUCCUUAAACUUAUCAGAAUUGACCUGGGAAAACUUUCUAGGAAGGAUUGCCACAACCCAUAAAGGCUUUAAUAUUACUGACUGCGAUUUGGUCCAGGUAUAUAUAUGCAUCUGUCGAGGCAGUAGUGUUCAUCAACUACAUUGUUGCAAAAGAUUUACUGAAGCAUCAGGAAAACCUUAAACGCUCCUCCAUUGAAGAUGUCGAGUUCUAGAAGAGGAACCCGUUUCCCCAGGUGUUGAACCUGAAACCCCUGCCUCGGUUGCCACCCCGGUUUCUGGGGUUACAGCCAGCGGAGCGUCUCCCGCUGGUGCUGGUGCAGCUGCAGCCGCUGGUUCUGGUGG